GAUGAACGCUGGCGGUGUGCCUAAUACAUGCAAGUCGAGCGAACAGACGAGGAGCUUACUCCUCUGACGUUAGCGGCGGACGGGUGAGUAACACGUGGAUAACCUACCUAUAAGACUGGGAUAACUUCGGGAAACCGGAGCUAAUACCGGAUAACAUGUUGAACCGCAUGGUUCAACAGUGAAAGACGGUCUUGCUGUCACUUAUAGAUGGAUCUGCGUCGCAUUAGCUAGUUGGUAAGGUAACGGCUUACCAAGGCAACGAUGCGUAGCCGACCUGAGAGGGUGAUCGGCCACACUGGAACUGAGACACGGUCCAGACUCCUACGGGAGGCAGCAGUAGGGAAUCUUCCGCAAUGGGCGAAAGCCUGACGGAGCAACGCCGCGUGAGUGAAGAAGGUCUUCGGAUCGUAAAACUCUGUUAUUAGGGAAGAACAAAUGUGUAAGUAACUAUGCACGUCUUGACGGUACCUAAUCAGAAAGCAACGGCUAACUACGUG
This 497-nucleotide ribosomal RNA is filed under the name uncultured bacterium. RNAcentral's name for it is "partial 16S ribosomal RNA". It matches the Rfam family "Bacterial small subunit ribosomal RNA", at positions 28 to 507 of the family's 1533-position model. The record is from RNAcentral.